RNAcentral lists this ribosomal RNA (253 nucleotides) under uncultured bacterium. RNAcentral's name for it is "partial 16S ribosomal RNA". It matches the Rfam family "Bacterial small subunit ribosomal RNA", at positions 524 to 776 of the family's 1533-position model. The record is from RNAcentral.
UACGUAGGGUGCAAGCGUUAUCCGGAAUUAUUGGGCGUAAAGAGCUCGUAGGCGGUUUGUCGCGUCUGCUGUGAAAACUGGAGGCUCAACCUCCAGCCUGCAGUGGGUACGGGCAGACUAGAGUGCGGUAGGGGAGAUUGGAAUUCCUGGUGUAGCGGUGGAAUGCGCAGAUAUCAGGAGGAACACCGGUGGCGAAGGCGGUUCUCUGGGCCUUACCUGACGCUGAGGAGCGAAAGCGUGGGGAGCAAACAGG